Non-coding RNA from Equus caballus (horse), 9504 nucleotides. NCBI's taxonomy places the organism in Eukaryota, Metazoa, Chordata, Mammalia, Perissodactyla, Equidae. The record is from RefSeq and is a predicted model, not a curated record.
CGAACCGGUGAAUCCCUCGGCCGCAGAAGCAGAGCACGCGAACUUAACCACUCGGCCACGGGGACGGCCCCUAAAGAAGUAUUUUUAGUUUUCCAAAUUUUAGUAAAUUAUUAAGUUCAGAGUAAAAAACCCAUGUAGCUUUUUAAUUUUAUAAAAUCAUUGUGACACAAAUCAGAAACAUCAUAGCUAUCCUAAGAAUAGUGUGAAUGGAUGCUUUCAAUUAACUCUGUGGAAAUAUGUUUUUAUUUCAUGGUUUUUAAAUCUUGCUUCUAUAUUAGGCACUUUGGGAACUGUUUUCAAUCCUUUAGUAAACUGCUUAGUUUAUGGUAAGAACAUUGCAUUUUAAAAGAAUGAAAUAACAUGAAUGGUAGGAUUUCCCCCUACCGCCUGCAAAUUAACGCCUCCAUAGUUGCCUACAUUGCUAGUGUAGCUUUAAAUAUAGGAUAUUCUGGUUCAUUACAUGCACUCUUUGUGAGCAAUGUCUUUUUAAAACUGGUUUUGGUUUGCGUUCAAAGGAAUGCUUUUCUUGUUCAGCAGCUGGGUAUGAAUUUAAUUAUUGUAAAUAAAUAUGAUCUAAUGUUUCAUUGAGUUUUCUGAAUAACAAGAUAAUUUGGUCAGCACUGCUAUCUCAAAAGGCCUGGAGGAAAGCCAAAACACAAGAAGCAAUUGCUCUGGUGAGGAGGAAAUUAUCGGCAAAUUCAUGUGAUUUACUCCAUUUAACAUACAAUUAAAAGUGGCUGUCGAUUUGCCUGAUACUCUAAAUGCUUCUUUAUCUCUUGACUUGGUUACAGGAAGUGUUAUAAAAAGAAAAAGGCUGCUGAUGUUUGUUCCACCUUCAGUAUGUGGUUUCACAACCAAAGCCACUGUCCCUGUGUAGGAACUGCUUCCUACAGUGGCAGCGGGAUCUGAAGGUGCAAGACCAGGGAGCAGAUUGCGAUGUGAAUGUGUUCUUGGCACCGAAAGUAGAACUAGUGAGGAGGCUGAAGAAGACUGAGUGUGUCGUGGGCGUUCCAAGGUGCGAGUGGACUUGACACAGACGGGAAGUGGCUGCAGAAAAGUCAGAUGAGGCCAGAGUGCAAACAGACAAGGGGAUAACAGGCAAGUCCAUUCCAUCACCAGAGAGUCCUGCUGUUAACCGAUCGCCAGUGGGUUGCCUACCCUUUCCCCCAGGGAUCUCUAGCUCCUUCUUGCACCGGCACUGUCAGGUCUUUUCUGUACUUUGUUGGAUUCAAGAGACUGGACAAUCUGCAAGAUAAGUAAACAUUUUUUUCUUGUUAAUACUGAUUACUUCUCACACUAAAAUGUUGAUGGGUCACUAUGGCAACCCAUCCUGGUUCUUUUCACUAGGUCUUACCGAAGAUGCCUUUCACACUAGCAGUAAGGCCAUGGAGGAAGGACAGAGUGAAUCAUGGAGAAAGAACAUCCCAUCUUACCACCCAAUACAAUUAUGCAGUUGUGGAAGUAGAACUGGAACUCUGGGAGAGGUCAGGGUUAGAGAGAGAGAGAGAUUGAUUGAUUGAUUUGGGAGUUAUUUGCAUGAAAUUGAGUGAGAAAGUAGUGAAGCACUAGGUUUUCUGAAUGUAUGCUUUAGCAAGUUUUGUUUUUACAGUUCGUGUUUUGUUGGUGGCUGGCAGCGUCUUCUAAAAUAGAUCGUACUGUGCUAAGGACAGUGAGUCAUUCCACGUUGUUUUUCUCCUCAGUUCUACUCUGCGUUUGUCCCUCAUCAACUUCCUCUUAUCUCUAACCAUCUUGCUAAUGUUUCUGUCUAAGCAUUUCUCCUGUCUCCACUAUGGUCAGAGAAAAGGGAAAUAGACUGAAAUCACCAUCCCAUCAACAAGGGUUUAUGGAGGAACUUGUAUGCGCUUAGCAUCAUUCUGGGUGUUUCAAUCAUGUCAUAGGAGUGAUUGAAGUUAGAUAAAAAAGGCUUACCUUUAUAUGACAAUUUUUAAAAGUUGGAAUGAGUUAUUGAGAGAGGUCAUAUAUUCUAAACAUAUGAGAAAUGGUUAGGUUGGGUGCUGCCUGGUAAUUGAUAAUGAAACACAAGAUCUCAUAUGUUUUUGAGAUAAUAUGAAUAUAUUUUCAAAUUAUAUUUCUUGCUGACAAGUGGGUCAAGGAUUGUUUUCCACUUCUUUCCACACCUGUGUAAGCAGAACCCUUAUCAUUGAGCUUCUGUCCGUUUCAUAUAUGAUGAGUUUCUAUCUGCCACAUCCUCCAUGUUGGCUUGUAUGUUGGCCAGUGAAACAGGAAAUUCCUUUCUUUCACUUAAGUCUUUUUUUCAGUCAUUGUGGAAAUAAAGUAUGGAUUGUAAUCAGUUCUGAAUCAUAUUCCUUAAAUGAGAAUGAUAAAUAAUUAUCUUACUAUGUACGGCAGAUGUUAUGUAGAUGACAAAAUAUUUUUAUUUGCAUUACAGAGAAAGAGGAAAUAGUGUCCUAAUUCAGCGGGAGGUAUUUUUGUUUUGCAUAACUAAGGCAUUUCUGAUUAGGGAUAGCGGUAGGUCAAGAUUCAGGGAGGAGGUCAGUGCAAGACUAACGUGGUAUGCUUUCUCUUUUUCUGCAGAUUUCUAUGGAUAGACCAGAAGCCUACCAGUACAGGAUGUUUGGGUACAGGUGAGGCUAAUUUGAGGUAAGUGGGUUUUGCAGUACCAUAGUCUUGCCUCCCUCUCCCUGGAUCCCCAGCCCUAGUGUAGAAUGCUUGCCUGCUUCCCCUCCAGCACUGUCUCCCUCUGAAAGCUCCUCCCCUCCCCUCGGCCCCUGCUGUUUUCCUUAGUGACUCUGAUAGAAGUAGCACAAGCACCUGGACAUGGGGGAUGUGUUUUGGGGCAAUAUUUUUCCUCUUUAUCAUCUUUCUUCUAACUAUUCUCUCUGGGUGCAGCUUUACUGUAAUUAUAACAAAGCGAAACAAGGUGAACUUCAGGGUAGGAACUUUGCAGUUCUAUAAUUUUUUGAGAGUUAGAGAAAAGUUUUUCAAAUAAUUUUCUCACCUCUUGAUUGCUGAUCUUUGUGCUUUGUGGGAUGCAUCUAGUUAAUUGAUUAAUCAUCUAAUUACUAUUAGCAGGACAGUGGACAAGUAAAAUCUCUAGGCUUAUUUUCCUAUCUAAAAGUGGGCACAACCACACUUCAGUUGUAGGUUUGGUCUGAGGAUUAAACAAGAUCGUGCAUAAUGCCUAGAACAUAUAUUUGAUAAAAGAAUCAAUUCAGUCCAAUUUGCCACCAGUAUUGUGAUGUGCUAAAUUCACUGGUAAUUCUGAAUAUCGGAGUUUUGAGAAAGGCUCAAAUAAUUUUAUAUUAACUCAGUGUAAUAGCAACCAUCCAGUGAGUGCUUACUAUGUGUGAGGCUUACUAUGUGUGAGGCUCUGCGUUAAGCGCUUAAUCUUAACCUGUUUAACUCUCACUACAUCACCGGGAGGUAUGUUCUAUUAUCUCUAUUUUGUGAAGCUUGGAUAGAAGUAACUUGUCUGGGGCAUCCUUCCUUUUAAGGUCUGUCUGACAACGAGGUCUGUAUUCCUAAUUGUACUAUAGUGCCUCCCUGUGACCGUAUUCUAAAUUCUGGUGUCAUUAAUUUGAGAGUACGAUACACAAACUUGAGCACUUGUUCUUCUCUGAUGAUUAUGAAGUAGACUGUGAGGUGGGAAAUAUUGCAAUCGGAGUGGAAAAAGAUUAUGGACUUGGAACUCUUUGAUGGAGUAUACCGUGGAUUGGGGCAGCUUCUCUUCCUUUCUAGAACAUUGGCUAAGAACCUGGGCUCUGGAGUCAUAUUUCCUGGAUUGUAUCCCAGCUCUGCCACUUAGUAGCUUUGUGACCUUCUGAGGCUGUUUGCUCAUCUGUAAAAUGAUGAUAAUAAUAUUACCCGCCUCAUAGAUUUAUUGUGAGGAUUAAAUGAGUUCAUACAUGUAGAUUCCUUAAAAUAGUGACUGACACUUGGUAAGCACUAUUAGCUAUUAUUGGUAUUUCUAAGUCCUUCACUUUAUAUCUAUCUUCUGGCUGCCUCCAUAUGUGCAUAGUUGCACUUUUCCUAAAAAAUACACAGAUGUACUUAAAGAUGUUGUGAUGCUUGGUCCCCAGGAUCAUAAUCUGCUUUUGCAAUUUUUAGUGUAUUAUAAUAAAGGGAAAAGUUGAUUGUUACUCUUAAAUUUCUUCCAUCCCCAGAAAAAAUUAUUGCUUAAGAAUUAAUGGGAUUAAUAAUCUUUUAAGUGUUUAGUUCUGACUUCAGAUUUGUGAAACUGAAACCUGUUGACAAAAUCAAUGUUAACAAAACCAAAUAUAUUGAGUGACCCAAUUGGCCUUGUUUUUAGUCAUAACUUCAGAUUAGAAGUAAAAGCAAAUUUGAAACAUGUGGCUGUAUAGAUUCUCUCCUCUUUUUAUGCAGGCAUUGUGAGUGAGGUACAUGGUUAGACAUAGCCUUUUUGCCUAGCGCAAGGAAGAGUUAAUAAAGUAAAGUUAUGUAAAGUGCAUCGAACUCCUCAAGAGAGAAGUGUUAUAUUAAUACCUGCCUCACGGUGAUGUUCUCAGACUUAAUGAUAGAAAGUUUGUAAAUUGCCUUGGUACUCCCAGUAACAUCCUGAUGAAGCAUCAUUUCGUUUUAUUGCAAGGAGCUCGAAGUUACACAGAAUGCAAGUUAAGGGGAAAUAAUAUCCCAGUCUUUAUUUUACAAUCAGAAGUACAUAAAAUAAACAGAAAAUAUUUUGUUCCAGUUGUGAGUGGUAGAGUUAAUUAUUUUUAUAUUUUCUUUCUCUAUUACUUUUGGGAGAGAGGGGAAUUGAUACUGCACAGUUUAAUCGGGCACCCAUGAUUAAAGUAUAUAAUGGCAGAAAUAGCCAUCAUGAUACAGAGACCUUUAAGGAUACUAGUAUUCAAAUAUUUAAAAAUUAAAUUUAAGCUUUAAAAGAGUAAACUCUUUCUUAUAUGAUUACUAUUAAGUUUGGCAUUUUUGAGACAUGCCUUAAAUCGAUACCUAUAAUACUUACAGACAUCAGUAGGGAGAAUAGUAUUGUAAACACAUAUUCUUGCUGUAGGGUACAUUUUAAACGUCUAAACACUAAUCAAUAUAGAGAAAUUAAGUAUUGACUAAAAUAGCUUUAUAAUAAGUAAUUAUUGGUUUGCUCUUUUAGAAAUUAGACAUUUUCACUUUGGGAAUAAAGAGUAAAUUUACUGUCAUGAAAUUGAAGUGUUUUUGACCUUUUUGUACAGCUUUCCUCUGUCUAUGAAAUGAUUAAGUUUAAAUAUGAUUGCACAGCUGUAUUAUGUUGCAAGCAUCAAUUUUUAAUUAUUAUAAGGUCAAUGUUAGAACAAAUGUGAUUAGUACGGUACCUCAGUGCACUUAUUUACUUUCCACUCAAAAACCAUCCUGUGUUUACCAAAACCAGCCUGAACCUCUCUCUGCUGAUACGACUAAUUAGAUUUAUGCCAAAUCCUUUAUUUUUUCCUCAGUGUUUAUCCUAUGUUUGUUAUUUUAUUGAUUCUUUCAGUUUUUAAAAAUACAGAUUGCUUUAUUUAUCUCUUCCCUUCAUAAAAGGACUUUUAUUUUCCUAUAUCUGUAUGUAUAUCUCUCUGUGUCUAUAACCAUAGAUAUUAAUAAGUUCACAAUUCUCCUACCUUUGUGUAACACAGUGUCUUAGCUCAGGCUGCUGUAACAGGGUAUGGUAGCCUGGGUAGGUUAAACCACUUUUAUUUCUCGCAGUUGUGGAAGCUGAGAAGUCCAAGAUCAAGGUGCCAGCAGAUUUGGUGUCUGGUGAGAGCCCUCUUCCUGGUGUGCAGGUGGCCAUCUUCUGAUUAUGUCCUCACAUGACCUUUCCUUGGCACUUAGGAGGACUACGUUUUCUCCCACCCUUGCAGUUGGGAAGAGCCGUGGAACUCGUUUUGGCCAAUGGGCUCUGAGCACAAGAGACAUGUAAUUUCGUCAUGUAAUCCCUGACUUGGGACCUGCAGCUCUCUCUUCCCCUCCUGCGGUGUCUCAGGAGGCUGCAUAUUCCAGAUGGUGCCGCUGUAAGAUGGCAGAGCCUCCGUAAACCAGGCUUCCUCAGUGACUCUCUGGUGACCUGUGUGGAGUCUGUAGCAUGGGUCCCUGAGCCACUGAGUCUCUAAAUGACUGUCUGUGGACCUGUUUGGGGCACAUAGCAUGAGCCAGAAAUGUUCGUGUGUGGCCACUGAGAUGUUGUGGUUGCUUGCGACUUCAUUGUAGCCAAUCCUAAGUGCAUACUACAGCUGCAAAAUGGGAACUGGGGUUGAUUUUUAUUAGCUUAUCUCUAGUAGAAAAGGUUUAUAAAUAUUUAAGGACGACUUUAAACUAUCCAGCAAUUCUUUUUUAGAGAACAAAGAAACUUGUACAAUGUAUAUCUGAAUUUUAUAAAGGUGAAUACUUUGUGUGUUCCUGAUUUUUCUUGAUGGUGUUGAAGGAGCAAACCUCGUGCUGAGGUAUCUGAUUGUAGUAUUGCAGAUGGCUUGAUCAUACAUGGAUACAGAGGUUAAAGCUCUAGAUCUUCCAUGGUUUUCAUUCACAAAAUCAUCUUUUAUUUCCACUUCAAAGUAGCUACAGCUAGUAUCACUUAAAAUAUUUUUUCAGCUUUCAUUGUGCCAUGGAAAUUAGCAUUUUUAUUACCACAAAUUAUUCUUGUUUGGUAAUUCCAAAGAUGUCCAAAAGCAAGAACAGCCUCCUGAGCUGUUAGACUUUGGAAGAGAAUAGUAAAUCAACGAGUAGAUAGGACCAUAUAUCAUAUUAAACACAGGGAAUUCACCACAAAAUCAUUACACUAAAAAGCGACAAUUUUGAUUGAUUAAAAUGGUAUGGGCUGGAUAGUGUUAAAUCACUGUGAGUGAUAUGACAUUAUAAUUUUACAUAGCAUAUUUCUGCCAAGACAAUGAAGGUAAAAGGCAUUGUCAUCAGAUGAUAACAGACAAUAAGAAGAAUCCUGAUGUUAGAUUUAUUACCUGGUUUAGAUUUAGAAAGAAGUAAUUCUUGUCCUGUUCCACUUAUCAAAUGACUGUAAAUUCAGUGAUGAUGUAAAAUUCUAAGGCAGAGCCACUUAUAGGUUUGACAAAGUGCCAGCUGUAAAGUAUUUAUUGUUCUCAGUGGUUCUGCCUUACAAACUUAAAUAUUUAUCAGAAACAUAAACCCCUCUGAUAAAUGUUUCUGAUCUUUGUGGGUAAAUUUUUUUUUUAACAUUUAGAUUUUUCAUCAGAAACUACAUCUAUAUUUUUAUUAUGUUAAUAACUUUGAGCUCAUCAUUUGAAAAGGUAAUAUGUGCAUUUUAAAAUGUUAUUCCUUUUAACUUCUGCUUUUAAGUAUGACAUUUUUAAGAUAGUAUUCUUAGUAUCGAAAUGAGGCCUUCCUUAUUUUACCAUUGCUAUAGAGGCAGCUCAGCCAAAAUUUCUGAAUUUCAUCCUUAUGUAUAUCCCAGGAGAGGUUUAGGUUGGUGGUGGUCUGGGUGCGGUCUGAGAAAGUUCAUGGUGUCCCCAAGUAUCUUAGGUGAUUGUUUUAAUGCCAUUUAUCUCUGUAUCUUGUUUCUGAAGGACACAGGCACAGGUGAUUCCUUACCCUGGGCACAGGGAAGUCCUUGCUUGAGAGCACAGCUGACAGGACCAAAGAUUAGCACCUCAGUCAAAGGAAGGCAGUGCUUACUGGCCAGUGAUCUGUGAGGUGGCAGGUCACAACAUGAGAACCCCGGGAAACAGGAUGCUGUCUACAGGAAGUAGGAGCCGGGACCUGGUUAGAUUGUCUGAAGCACUCAAAUGUGAGACACACGAAUGGUAAAGCAGCUCGGAAGCACAGAGAAUCAUAGAGAGAAGGCAAUUAGUAGUCUCCAUAAGGUUGCCAAAGACACCACAAGCAAAAGCCAAGAGCUGAAGAAAGAAGAGCAGAGGCACUGAGUAGUUGCAAGAGAAGUGGACAUUAUAGGAGCUGAAAUAGAAGGUAGCGGAACCAUCAGGAAACUGAAACUUGACCUAAAGGAGGACUAAAAGUGGGCUAAGUUGCUGGAGUACAGCUGUUGAGAUUAUUUUUCAUUAUUCCCGAGUUCUCUGGGUAUUCAUACAGCAAACCAACUAACUAUGUUAAACUGGGCUUCUCACUCUUCCUCUAACUUCAAAAAGUCUCAUACAUCUAAGAAAAUAUAAUGAAUUCAUAUGAUCCCAGAAUUUCAGCUCUACAAGAGAACUUAGAGACAUUUUGCCAAAGUGUUUUCCUGUUUAUUUUUCUUAUGAAGAAUUUCAGUGCCAGAGAGAAUAAAAGUCCUUGCUUUGCUCCACCAGCUGAUCAUAUGCUGUGAUCAUAAGCUUCUUAAGACCGCAAACAUAUCUUAAGUAGCUGUUUCUUCUUGCCUUGCUACAAAGUAGGAGCUCAAUAAAUGCAUUUUGAGUAGUGAGUCACCGCAAAAUCUUAUGGCAUUUGACAGUUUAGAUUUGCCUGUAGAGCUGGUUAAUUCUAAAUAGUUAAAAGAAGGGAUAUGGUAAAAAAGUGAAAUGAUAAGACUCUUAUUUAUCCCUCCCCAAUCUAUUUUGUUAACACUUUCUCUUCUGCACACCACAUAUACACACACUCAAAUCAAGGAGUUAUUAGCCUUCUAGGCUGAUUACGGAAGUUUUAUAUUCAUCAAAAUUGGCCCUAGAAAAUUCAUUGCACAAGGCUGGCAUUUGAGGUUCAAAAUUGUAUGGGCAAUGGGGCACUGACAGCAUCCGACUAAUUUACUGUUAGGUCUCCACACUUGCUGAGAUUCAUGGAUUAAAAGUGAAAGAGGUUUUCUGGAACAUUUUCUGAUUCAAGGAUAAAGAAGGUUAGUCUGAAGCUAAGUUCUCUGACCCUCUAAUAAUUUACAUGGAGCUUUCAGUAUCAGUGUCAUUUUCUUGAAUAUCAAAGGCUAAAGAUUGUUUUGAAUAAAUCAAGACUUAAAAGAAGUCUCUGGGAAAUAUUAAAUGACUGUUGAGCAGACUGCUUCAUGGAAGGAGAACCAUUAGUUGAAUUCAGGGACAUUUCUUCUAUUUUGCCGUCCCUAUAAGAGAACAACAGUAAAGGCUAUGAAGAUUACAGCUGCCACUCAUUUUUGCUUUAACUUUGAGUUUUAUUUUCCCUUGAGAUAAAUCCUUCAAAGCCAGAAUAAAUAUUUCUCCAAAAUAGCAUAUAGCAAAGAAAGAAUGCUAUUUCUAAUCUUCAUCUGGGUUUUAUUUGAGGAGAUUUAAAGAUAAUUCCUUAGUUUUGGGCUAAUUCUGCCUUGUGGUCUGUUUUGGAGGGUUGGACUCCUUUUGUUAGGAAAGUUUACCAGUCUAAAUUUCCUACAAAAGGACUUCUGAGAAUUGUGAUGACUUAUGAGACAUGAAGGGACUGGGCUUAGGAAAGAGAGAAGCCCAGCAAUUUCCAUCCUGCUCUGCCUUGGAGGGGUGCAAGUAUUUCAGUCAAGGGCAUGUGCAAGGGCAAAUUCUGACCAUUCACAAAACUGCUUUACUCAUUGAACAAAUGGGGUUGUUUGGAUUCUAUGUGACAUAUUCUGGAACAAAAUAAAUCCUAAAGAAGGCAAAA